AGUGAACGCUGGCGGUAGGCCUAACACAUGCAAGUCGAACGGCAGCACAGUAAGAGCUUGCUCUUACGGGUGGCGAGUGGCGGACGGGUGAGGAAUACAUCGGAAUCUACUUUUUCGUGGGGGAUAACGUAGGGAAACUUACGCUAAUACCGCAUACGACCUACGGGUGAAAGCAGGGGAUCUUCGGAACUUGCGCGAUUGAAUGAGCCGAUGUCGGAUUAGCUAGUUGGCGGGGUAAAGGCCCACCAAGGCGACGAUCCGUAGCUGGUCUGAGAGGAUGAUCAGCCACACUGGAACGGAGACACGGUCCAGACUCCUACGGGAGGCAGCAGUGGGGAAUAUUGGACAAUGGGCGCAAGCCUGAUCCAGCCAUACCGCGUGGGUGAAGAAGGCCUUCGGGUUGUAAAGCCCUUUUGUUGGGAAAGAAAAGCAGCAGGUUAAUACCCCGCUGUUCUGACGGUACCCAAAGAAUAAGCACCGGCUAACUUCGUG
This 492-nucleotide ribosomal RNA is filed under the name uncultured bacterium. RNAcentral's name for it is "partial 16S ribosomal RNA". It matches the Rfam family "Bacterial small subunit ribosomal RNA", at positions 29 to 507 of the family's 1533-position model. The record is from RNAcentral.